This 377-nucleotide small RNA is filed under the name Histoplasma capsulatum. Its description in RNAcentral is "hypothetical RNA". RNAcentral also lists the same sequence under 1 other name. The record is from RNAcentral. Lineage: Eukaryota; Fungi; Ascomycota; Eurotiomycetes; Onygenales; Ajellomycetaceae.
ACUGGCCAGCGUGUUCAUGAUAUGUACACGAAUCAAUGGGUAACAUGUUUUCAUAAAUAUGACUUACUCUACUCGAGGUUCCAGAGCCGUUAAGGCUAUUCCAGUUUCCGGAAAUCCCACACGAGUGUCGGUGUCAAAAUUCUAUGCCAAACUGAUUACACUCUAGGUCGAGGAUGGGGUAAUGAAUAAAUGAAUUGAUCAUUGAAAUCUAUGCUCGAGAGCAUAUUAAGAAUCAAGCUCACAUGCUGGGUAUGCAUACGGGUGCAUAUCUACCCUUCUUAGCUGUCGGUGUGGGUGGGUAUACAUGCACUGAAGAUAUGUCUGAUGUAUAAAAAAAAAUUAAAAAAAAAUUAAAAAAAUUAACAGAGUACCAACCC